Molecule: ribosomal RNA, 422 nt
Filed under: uncultured bacterium
Lineage: Bacteria
Description: bacterial SSU rRNA
Rfam family: Bacterial small subunit ribosomal RNA
Source: RNAcentral
UGAGGAAUAUUGGGCAAUGCCCGCAAGGGUGACCCAGCAACGCCGCGUGGAGGAUGAAUGUCGUAAGAUUGUAAACUCCUGUUAGAGGGGAAGAAUAGUACCGGUUGGACCGGUAUAUGACUGUACCCUCAGAGAAAGCCCCGGCUAACUACGUGCCAGCAGCCGCGGUAAUACGUAGGGGGCAAGCGUUGUCCGGAUUUACUGGGUGUAAAGGGCGCGCAGGCGGGAUAAAAAGUCAGUGGUGAAAUCCUACAGCUUAACUGUAAAACUGCCUUUGAUACUUUUAUUCUUGAGUUCGGGAGAGAGAGACGGAAUUCCAGGUGUAGUGGUGAAAUACGUAGAUAUCUGGAAGAACACCAGUUGCGAAGGCGGUCUCUUGGUCCGACACUGACGCUGAGGCGCGAAAGCGUGGGGAGCAAACA